GCAACCAAUAACUUUGAUGAGAAAAAUAAGCUGGGGGAGGGAGGAUUUAGUGCAGUUUAUAAGGGGUUUUUGAUGUUUAAUUAUAUUGCUGUUAAGAAAUUCAAAAGGGUGUCCAUCCAUGGGUUAAAGUACUAUGCAUCAGAAGUUAUGAUCACUGGCAAGCUGAAGCAUGAAAACUUGAUUAAACUGAUAGGUUGGUGCUAUG
This 205-nucleotide unclassified non-coding RNA is filed under the name Hevea brasiliensis (rubber tree). Lineage: Eukaryota; Viridiplantae; Streptophyta; Magnoliopsida; Malpighiales; Euphorbiaceae. The record is from RNAcentral.